AGACCCGAAACCCGGUGAUCUAGCCAUGGGCAGGUUGAAGGUUGGGUAACACUAACUGGAGGACCGAACCGACUAAUGUUGAAAAAUUAGCGGAUGACCUGUGGCUGGGGGUGAAAGGCCAAUCAAACCGGGAGAUAGCUGGUUCUCCCCGAAAGCUAUUUAGGUAGCGCCUCGUGAAUUCAUCUCCGGGGGUAGAGCACUGUUUCGGCUAGGGGGCCAUCCCGGCUUACCAACCCGAUGCAAACUGCGAAUACCGGAGAAUGUUAUCACGGGAGACACACGGCGGGUGCUAACGUCCGUCGUGAAGAGGGAAACAACCCAGACCGCCAGCUAAGGUCCCAAAGUCAUGGUUAAGUGGGAAACGAUGUGGGAAGGCCCAGACAGCCAGGAUGUUGGCUUAGAAGCAGCCAUCAUUUAAAGAAAGCGUAAUAGCUCACUGGUCGAGUCGGCCUGCGCGGAAGAUGUAACGGGGCUAAACCAUGCACCGAAGCUGCGGCAGCGACACUCAGGUGUUGUUGGGUAGGGGAGCGUUCUGUAAGCCUGUGAAGGUGGCCUGUGAGGGUUGCUGGAGGUAUCAGAAGUGCGAAUGCUGACAUAAGUAACGAUAAAGCGGGUGAAAAGCCCGCUCGCCGGAAGACCAAGGGUUCCUGUCCAACGUUAAUCGGGGCAGGGUGAGUCGACCCCUAAGGCGAGGCCGAAAGGCGUAGUCGAUGGGAAACGGGUUAAUAUUCCCGUACUUGGUGUUACUGCGAAGGGGGGACGGAGAAGGCUAUGUUGGCCGGGCGACGGUUGUCCCGGU
Molecule: ribosomal RNA, 799 nt
Filed under: Salmonella enterica subsp. enterica serovar Virchow
Lineage: Bacteria; Pseudomonadati; Pseudomonadota; Gammaproteobacteria; Enterobacterales; Enterobacteriaceae
Also listed under: 1 other name
Description: partial 23S ribosomal RNA
Rfam family: Bacterial large subunit ribosomal RNA
Source: RNAcentral